AUUGAACGCUGGCGGCAGGCCUAACACAUGCAAGUCGAACGAGUGGCGGACGGGUGAGUAAUGUCUGGGAAACCGCCCGAUGGAGGGGGAUCACUACUGGAAAAGGUAGCUAAUACCGCCUUUCAUCAGAUGUGCCCAGAUGGGAUUGGCUUGUUGGUGGGGUAACGGCGCACCAAGGCGACGAUCCCUAGCUGGUCGGAGAGGAUAACAGGCCACCUUGGAACUGAGACACGGUCCAGACUCCUACGGGAGGCAGCAGGGGGGAAUAUUGCGCAAUGGGCGCAAGCCUGAUGCAGCCAUGCCGCGUGUAUGAAGAAGGCCUGCGGGUUGUAAAGUACUUUCGGCGGUGAGGCGGUACCCGCAGAAGAAGCACCGGCUAACUCCGUGCCAGCCGCCGCGGUAAUUC
Molecule: ribosomal RNA, 406 nt
Filed under: uncultured bacterium
Lineage: Bacteria
Description: partial 16S ribosomal RNA
Rfam family: Bacterial small subunit ribosomal RNA
Source: RNAcentral